RNAcentral lists this long non-coding RNA (518 nucleotides) under Medicago truncatula (barrel medic). Its description in RNAcentral is "long non-coding RNA (MTRU_LNC008298)". Lineage: Eukaryota; Viridiplantae; Streptophyta; Magnoliopsida; Fabales; Fabaceae. The record is from RNAcentral.
CUGACUGUCUCACUCUCUAGCAUAUCCAUUCAGAGACUUAAAGAACAGUUACAAGCCUCCUUUCAUAUGAAAGAUCUCGGCAACCUGCAUUAUUUUCUCGAUCUUGAGGUUCAUUCUACAUCCAAGGGUAUCUUCCUCCAUCAAGACAAGUAUGACACAUGAGACAUACCCCACACAUCUCUUGAGCAGUCGAAAAGGAACGUAAAUUAUUAACUACACUUGCUCGGAUUACCAUGAGGGCGUUGAGCUUUUUGGAUUGUUGAACAAAUGGUAGAUUACGUCAUCAGUCUCUAUAUAUAAGCAAUUUAUUUGAUAAAAAUUUAUCCUUAAUUAGUCCCUUUUUAAAUUACUAAAUACUUUUAUUGCUUCUUGUCCAAAUAAACCACUAAUUAAUACCAUUAAGUGUUUUGAAUAAUGAAAAAUCAAAAUUUACUUCACAUGCAUAUACAAAUGACAUUUUAGGUAUCGAUUGUUGGGUGGGGGCGAUCCCUUUUCGGGAGAGAUUUAGGAGGCUUUUU